Molecule: ribosomal RNA, 113 nt
Filed under: Cordylochernes scorpioides
Lineage: Eukaryota; Metazoa; Arthropoda; Arachnida; Pseudoscorpiones; Chernetidae
Source: RNAcentral
AGUAUUAGAGUUUAUCAGAAACCGGUUCUCGUCCGAUCACCGAAGUUAAGCAAUGUCGGGCCCGGUCAGUACUUGGGAGGGUGAACACCUGGGAACACCGGGUGCUGUAGGCU